AUUGAACGCUGGCGGCAGGCCUAACACAUGCAAGUCGAACGGUAGCACAGAGAGCUUGCUCUCGGGUGACGAGUGGCGGACGGGUGAGUAAUGUCUGGGAAACUGCCCGAUGGAGGGGGAUAACUCCUGGAAACGGUAGCUAAUACCGCAUAACGUCGCAAGACCAAAGUGGGGGACCUUCGGGCCUCACACCAUCGGAUGUGCCCAGAUGGGAUUAGCUAGUAGGUGGGGUAAUGGCUCACCUAGGCGACGAUCCCUAGCUGGUCUGAGAGGAUGACCAGCCACACUGGGACUGAGACACGGUCCAGACUCCUACGGGAGGCAGCAGUGGGGAAUAUUGCACAAUGGGCGCAAGCCUGAUGCAGCCAUGCCGCGUGUAUGAAGAAGGCCUUCGGGUUGUAAAGUACUUUCAGCGGGGAGGAAGGCGGUGAAGUUAAUAGCUCCACCGAUUGACGUUACCCGCAGAAGAAGCACCGGCUAACUCCGUGCCAGCAGCCGCAGUAA
RNAcentral lists this ribosomal RNA (504 nucleotides) under uncultured bacterium. RNAcentral's name for it is "partial 16S ribosomal RNA". It matches the Rfam family "Bacterial small subunit ribosomal RNA", at positions 30 to 523 of the family's 1533-position model. The record is from RNAcentral.